CUCUUACACAGUAUUAUAACUAAACUGUCUCAUGGAAAGCUCCUGGAUGCACAGCGCAUAGCCAAAGAACAUUGCGUUGAUCUAGAGAAGUGCUGGACGAAGGAGGUAAAAAUUAUCUGUGGCCUGAAGGAGGACCUCUCAGUCCUCAACAGGAAAAUGGUUUAGCGCACUUUUAGGAUGAGCUUUACCGCCCAGCACAAUCGUAUCGCAGCUUCCAUACAUGAUAAACGAUUCAUUCUUCAGCCUAUACAGGUGCACAAGAUUGCCACCACAAUCUACUAUUCGUUUCUCCAAUAAUUUGCCUACG
Molecule: long non-coding RNA, 307 nt
Organism: Varroa destructor (honeybee mite)
Lineage: Eukaryota; Metazoa; Arthropoda; Arachnida; Mesostigmata; Varroidae
Source: RefSeq, a predicted model, not a curated record